ACUUGUGCUCUUCCGAUCUCAUGACUGAAAUUUGAUUAAACGGUAAUAAAUGGUGCUUCCUUAGCAACAGCUAGCCCCUUAAGGUCCUGGAAACCUUGCUUCCAAAAUUCCUUAGAGACUUACUCUAUCCCUGACCCCCUCCCAACCUGAG
Leopardus geoffroyi (Geoffroy's cat) is the source of this 151-nucleotide long non-coding RNA. RefSeq lists it as uncharacterized. The record is from RefSeq and is a predicted model, not a curated record. NCBI's taxonomy places the organism in Eukaryota, Metazoa, Chordata, Mammalia, Carnivora, Felidae. The transcript is spliced from 3 exons.